UCCUACGGGAGGCAGCAGUGGGGAAUAUUGGACAAUGGGCGAAAGCCUGAUCCAGCCAUGCCGCGUGUGUGAAGAAGGUCUUCGGAUUGUAAAGCACUUUAAGUUGGGAGGAAGGGCAUUAACCUAAUACGUUAGUGUUUUGACGUUACCGACAGAAUAAGCACCGGCUAACUCUGUGCCAGCAGCCGCGGUAAU
This 195-nucleotide ribosomal RNA is filed under the name uncultured bacterium. RNAcentral's name for it is "partial small subunit ribosomal RNA". It matches the Rfam family "Bacterial small subunit ribosomal RNA", at positions 337 to 524 of the family's 1533-position model. RNAcentral also lists the same sequence under 1 other name. The record is from RNAcentral.